RNAcentral lists this long non-coding RNA (494 nucleotides) under Monodelphis domestica (gray short-tailed opossum). Its description in RNAcentral is "lncRNA (ENSMODG00000047346.1)". Lineage: Eukaryota; Metazoa; Chordata; Mammalia; Didelphimorphia; Didelphidae. The record is from RNAcentral.
CAAAUGUAUAGCUGGUGAUAAGACAAGAUGGCAAUAGCACAGGACUGCCCUGGUGGAGACUCUGUGACAACCACCUGGAUAGUUUGAGAACUGCUGCUUUUGCUGCUUGAAGUCCAGACUAAGGAAGGAUGCAAGCCCCCAAAGAACUAGAUGAGAGUCUAUGAAUCAAAAACAUGGAGCUGGGAGGAAUCUCACAUGUUGGUGGCACUGAGAGCCAUUCACUGAGGAGUUCCAUGCUCACCCUGGCAGUUUGUGAAUGCCCUGAUGACGCAGAAAUGCUGAGUAAGCUUCAUGCUCAUGGUUCCCGGGGAGUAAGCAGCCUUAUAGCCAGCCCCCAGCUCUUCCUCUCCCAAUGGGAUGGUACCAACUUGUUGUGAAGGGCUGUAUGGAUUUAUGGAUCUACAAAUGAAUUAAUGAACAGGCAUUUAUUGAAAGCCUACAAUACAAUUAUCCUCAACAAUAAAAAUAUCCUACAACUGUGAUAGGAACUAGAA